GACGAACGCUGGCGGCGUGCUUAACACAUGCAAGUCGAACGGAAAGGCCCUGCUUUUGUGGGGUGCUCGAGUGGCGAACGGGUGAGUAACACGUGAGUAACCUGCCCUUGACUUUGGGAUAACUUCAGGAAACUGGGGCUAAUACCGGAUAGGAGCUCCUGCUGCAUGGUGGGGGUUGGAAAGUUUCGGCGGUUGGGGAUGGACUCGCGGCUUAUCAGCUUGUUGGUGGGGUAGUGGCUUUCCAAGGCUUUGGCGGGUAGACGGCCUGGGAGGGUGGCCGGCCACAUUGGGGCUGGGGUCAGGCCCAGGCUCCUACGGGAGGCAGCCGUGGGGAAUAUUGCAGCAUGGGCGGAAGCCUGAUGCAGCAACGCCGCGUGCGGGAUGACGGCCUUCGGGUUGUAAACCGCUUUCGCCUGUGACGAAGCGUGAGUGACGGUAAUGGGUAAAGAAGCACCGGCUAACUACGUG
This 468-nucleotide ribosomal RNA is filed under the name uncultured bacterium. RNAcentral describes it as "partial 16S ribosomal RNA". It matches the Rfam family "Bacterial small subunit ribosomal RNA", at positions 28 to 507 of the family's 1533-position model. The record is from RNAcentral.